RNAcentral lists this unclassified non-coding RNA (176 nucleotides) under uncultured Clavicipitaceae. Its description in RNAcentral is "sequence contains ITS2". RNAcentral also lists the same sequence under 1 other name. The record is from RNAcentral. Lineage: Eukaryota; Fungi; Ascomycota; Sordariomycetes; Hypocreales; Clavicipitaceae.
CAACCCUCAAGCCCCCGCGCUUGGUGUUGGGGUGCCGGCGUCAAGCGCUGCCCGCAGCGCCCGCCGCCCCCGAAAUCGAUUGGCGGUCUCGUCGCAGCCUCCCUUGCGUAGUAACAUACCACCUCGCAUGGCGGAGCGCGACGCGGCCACGCCGUAAAACGCCCCAAUUUCUCAAG